GCCGAGGUGGUGAAAUUGGUAGACGCGCUGGAUUCAAAAUCCAGUGGGGGCAACCCCGUGCCGGUUCGAUUCCGGCUCUCGGCACCA
Molecule: transfer RNA, 87 nt
Filed under: SAR324 cluster bacterium
Lineage: Bacteria; Deltaproteobacteria
Description: tRNA-Leu
Rfam family: tRNA
About the family: Transfer RNA (tRNA) molecules are approximately 80 nucleotides in length. Their secondary structure includes four short double-helical elements and three loops (D, anti-codon, and T loops). Further hydrogen bonds mediate the characteristic L-shaped molecular structure. tRNAs have two regions of fundamental functional importance: the anti-codon, which is responsible for specific mRNA codon recognition, and the 3' end, to which the tRNAs corresponding amino acid is attached (by aminoacyl-tRNA synthetases). tRNAs cope with the degeneracy of the genetic code in two manners: having more than one tRNA (with a specific anti-codon) for a particular amino acid; and 'wobble' base-pairing, i.e. permitting non-standard base-pairing at the 3rd anti-codon position.
Source: RNAcentral